This 574-nucleotide ribosomal RNA is filed under the name uncultured Ralstonia sp. RNAcentral's name for it is "bacterial SSU rRNA". It matches the Rfam family "Bacterial small subunit ribosomal RNA", at positions 337 to 904 of the family's 1533-position model. The record is from RNAcentral. Lineage: Bacteria; Pseudomonadati; Pseudomonadota; Betaproteobacteria; Burkholderiales; Burkholderiaceae.
UCCUACGGGAGGCAGCAGUGGGGAAUUUUGGACAAUGGGCGAAAGCCUGAUCCAGCAAUGCCGCGUGUGUGAAGAAGGCCUUCGGGUUGUAAAGCACUUUUGUCCGGAAAGAAAUGGCUCUGGUUAAUACCUGGGGUCGAUGACGGUACCGGAAGAAUAAGGACCGGCUAACUACGUGCCAGCAACCGCGGUAAUACGUAGGGUCCAAGCGUUAAUCGGAAUUACUGGGCGUAAAGCGUGCGCAGGCGGUUGUGCAAGACCGAUGUGAAAUCCCCGAGCUUAACUUGGGAAUUGCAUUGGUGACUGCACGGCUAGAGUGUGUCAGAGGGGGGUAGAAUUCCACGUGUAGCAGUGAAAUGCGUAGAGAUGUGGAGGAAUACCGAUGGCGAAGGCAGCCCCCUGGGAUAACACUGACGCUCAUGCACGAAAGCGUGGGGAGCAAACAGGAUUAGAUACCCUGGUAGUCCACGCCCUAAACGAUGUCAACUAGUUGUUGGGGAUUCAUUUCCUUAGUAACGUAGCUAACGCGUGAAGUUGACCGCCUGGGGAGUACGGUCGCAAGAUUAAAACUCAA